Molecule: ribosomal RNA, 2258 nt
Filed under: Haemophilus sputorum HK 2154
Lineage: Bacteria; Pseudomonadati; Pseudomonadota; Gammaproteobacteria; Pasteurellales; Pasteurellaceae
Description: bacterial LSU rRNA
Rfam family: Bacterial large subunit ribosomal RNA
Source: RNAcentral
GGUGACUGCGUACCUUUUGUAUAAUGGGUCAGCGACUUAUAUUUUGUAGCAAGGUUAACUGAAUAAGGGAGCCGUAGGGAAACCGAGUCUUAACUGGGCGUCUAGUUGCAAGGUAUAGACCCGAAACCCGGUGAUCUAGCCAUGGGCAGGUUGAAGAUUGGGUAACACUAAUUGGAGGACCGAACCGACUAAUGUUGAAAAAUUAGCGGAUGACUUGUGGCUGGGGGUGAAAGGCCAAUCAAACCGGGAGAUAGCUGGUUCUCCCCGAAAUCUAUUUAGGUAGAGCCUUGAGCGGACACCUUCGGGGGUAGAGCACUGUUUCGGCUAGGGGUCCAUCCCGGAUUACCAACCCGAUGCAAACUGCGAAUACCGAAGAGUGAUACUCAGGAGACACACGGUGGGUGCUAACGUCCAUCGUGAAGAGGGAAACAACCCAGACCGCCAGCUAAGGUCCCAAAGUACUAGUUAAGUGGGAAACGAAGUGGGAAGGCUUAGACAGCUAGGAUGUUGGCUUAGAAGCAGCCAUCAUUUAAAGAAAGCGUAAUAGCUCACUAGUCGAGUCGGCCUGCGCGGAAGAUGUAACGGGGCUAAAACUAGUCACCGAAGCUGCGGCAUCAGUAGCAAUACUGUUGGGUAGGGGAGCGUUCUGUAAGCGGAUGAAGGUGAAUCGAGAGGUUUGCUGGACGUAUCAGAAGUGCGAAUGCUGACAUAAGUAACGAUAAAACGAGUGAAAAACUCGUUCGCCGGAAGACCAAGGGUUCCUGUCCAACGUUAAUCGGGGCAGGGUGAGUCGGCCCCUAAGGCGAGGCUGAAAAGCGUAGUCGAUGGGAAACGGGUUAAUAUUCCCGUACUUGGUAUAAUUGCGAUGUGGGGACGGAGAAGGUUAGGUUAUCAACCUGUUGGAUGGUUGUUUAAGCCGGUAGGUGGAGCAUUUAGGCAAAUCCGGAUGCUCAUAACACCGAGAAGUGAUGACGAGGUGCUACGGCACUGAAGUAACUGAUACCACGCUUCCAGGAAAAGCCACUAAGCUUCAGAUUAUACUAAACCGUACUAUAAACCGACACAGGUGGUCAGGUAGAGAAUACUCAGGCGCUUGAGAGAACUCGGGUGAAGGAACUAGGCAAAAUAGCACCGUAACUUCGGGAGAAGGUGCGCCGGCGUAGAUUGUAAGGGUUUACCCCUGAAGGUUGAACCGGUCGAAGAUACCAGCUGGCUGCAACUGUUUAUUAAAAACACAGCACUCUGCAAACACGAAAGUGGACGUAUAGGGUGUGAUGCCUGCCCGGUGCUGGAAGGUUAAUUGAUGGUGUUAUCGAAAGAGAAGCUCCUGAUCGAAGCCCCAGUAAACGGCGGCCGUAACUAUAACGGUCCUAAGGUAGCGAAAUUCCUUGUCGGGUAAGUUCCGACCUGCACGAAUGGCAUAAUGAUGGCCAGGCUGUCUCCACCCGAGACUCAGUGAAAUUGAAAUCGCCGUGAAGAUGCGGUGUACCCGCGGCUAGACGGAAAGACCCCGUGAACCUUUACUAUAGCUUGACACUGAACAUUGAAUUUUGAUGUGUAGGAUAGGUGGGAGCCUUUGAAGCAGUCACGCCAGUGAUUGUGGAGGCGUCCUUGAAAUACCACCCUUUAACGUUUGAUGUUCUAACGAAGAGUGGAAACACGCUCUCGGACAGUGUCUGGUGGGUAGUUUGACUGGGGCGGUCUCCUCCCAAAGAGUAACGGAGGAGCACGAAGGUUUGCUAAUCACGGUCGGACAUCGUGAGGUUAGUGCAAUGGUAUAAGCAAGCUUAACUGCGAGACAGACAAGUCGAGCAGGUACGAAAGUAGGUCAUAGUGAUCCGGUGGUUCUGAAUGGAAGGGCCAUCGCUCAACGGAUAAAAGGUACUCCGGGGAUAACAGGCUGAUACCGCCCAAGAGUUCAUAUCGACGGCGGUGUUUGGCACCUCGAUGUCGGCUCAUCACAUCCUGGGGCUGAAGUAGGUCCCAAGGGUAUGGCUGUUCGCCAUUUAAAGUGGUACGCGAGCUGGGUUUAGAACGUCGUGAGACAGUUCGGUCCCUAUCUGCCGUGGGCGUUGGAGAAUUGAAAGGGGCUGCUCCUAGUACGAGAGGACCGGAGUGGACGCAUCCCUGGUGUUCCAGUUGUUUCGCCAGAAGCAUUGCUGGGUAGCUACAUGCGGAAGAGAUAAGUGCUGAAAGCAUCUAAGCACGAAACUUGCCUUGAGAUGAGUUCUCCCAGUCUAUAAGACUGUAAGGGUUGU